This 250-nucleotide ribosomal RNA is filed under the name uncultured bacterium. RNAcentral describes it as "partial 16S ribosomal RNA". It matches the Rfam family "Bacterial small subunit ribosomal RNA", at positions 335 to 603 of the family's 1533-position model. The record is from RNAcentral.
UACCUACGGGGGGCAGCAGUGGGGAAUAUUGGACAAUGGGGGGAACCCUGAUUCAGCGACGCCGCGUGAGUGAAGAAGUAUUUCGGUAUGUAAAGCUCUAUCAGCAGGGAAGAAAAUGACGGUACCUGACUAAGGAGCCCCGGCUAACUACGUGCCAGCAGCCGCGGUAAUACGUCGGGGGCAAGCGUUAUCCGGAUUUACUGGUUGUAAAGGGAGCGUAAACGGUGCAGCAAGUAUGAUGUGAAAGGUC